CACGUAGGGUGCGAGCGUUGUCCGGAAUUAUUGGGCGUAAAGAGCUCGUAGGCGGUGUGUCGCGUCGGCCGUGAAAACCUGCAGCUUAACUGUGGGCUUGCGGUCGAUACGGGCAUCACUGGAGUUCGGCAGGGGAGACUGGAAUUCCUGGUGUAGCGGUGAAAUGCGCAGAUAUCAGGAGGAACACCGGUGGCGAAGGCGGGUCUCUGGGCCGAUACUGACGCUGAGGAGCGAAAGCGUGGGGAGCAAACAGG
Molecule: ribosomal RNA, 254 nt
Filed under: uncultured bacterium
Lineage: Bacteria
Description: partial 16S ribosomal RNA
Rfam family: Bacterial small subunit ribosomal RNA
Source: RNAcentral